UACAGAGGUCUCAAGCGUUGUUCGGAUUCAUUGGGCGUAAAGGGUUCGUAGGUGGCUUGCUAAGUCAGACGUGAAAUCCCUCAGCUUAACUGGGGAACUGCGUCUGAGACUGGUGAGCUUGAGUGCAGGAGAGGAACGCGGAAUUCCAGGUGUAGCGGUGAAAUGCGUAGAUAUCUGGAGGAACACCGGUGGCGAAGGCGGCGUUCUGGACUGCUACUGACACUGAUGAACGAAAGCCAGGGGAGCAAACGGG
Molecule: ribosomal RNA, 253 nt
Filed under: uncultured bacterium
Lineage: Bacteria
Description: partial 16S ribosomal RNA
Rfam family: Bacterial small subunit ribosomal RNA
Source: RNAcentral